Aegilops tauschii subsp. strangulata is the source of this 299-nucleotide long non-coding RNA. RefSeq lists it as uncharacterized. The record is from RefSeq and is a predicted model, not a curated record. NCBI's taxonomy places the organism in Eukaryota, Viridiplantae, Streptophyta, Magnoliopsida, Poales, Poaceae.
CAUGUUCUCCGCAUCGCGCUGGAGAAGAAGGUCAGGCGGGAGGAGAGGGAAGAUGCCGUGGGCCCCGCCUGUCAUUGUCUCAGCGCUGACGUGGCGGACCUGCUGACUGGAUUAAGUGGAAGCGCAUUUCAUCCCCGCCCGCCGAAGUGCUUAUUUUGUGAACGUUCACUGCUUUAGUGCAUUUUCUGCCUAAAAAGUGAACGGCCACAACUUUUCAACCGUAACUCCGAUUGAGCCCCCUCCGAGAGAGAACUGUUUUCGGCAACUUUUUCGGCGGUCGUUUCACACUUUUUCCCGGA